CCAACAUCAGCUAUACAAGUUUAGCAUACUGUUAACCUAAAAAUAUGUUCUACAUAAAAACAGUUUUACAUAAAACUGAACAUGAAGCGUCUGCAUCAAAAUAAGUUUUAUAGUUGUAUGCACUAAAUAAUUCACCCAUUCAGUACAUGUUUAUGAAGUACUGUGCUUCGAGUUACUGUGUUACAUGCUGGGAUUAUUGCAAAAAGUGAAAGAAGAGGAUCUAAUUGUAGCUCAGAUUCCAAAAGGAAGUUCAUUAUAAGGAAGUAAAAAGACAGCGGCUUCCCCACAGCGUGGGGAGAACCCUGGGGGAUGCCAAGGAGAGGGCGGCCGGCCUCAGAGAGGAAUGGCAAGAGUCGUGUAGAUGAGUGGUUCCAAGCCUUGGACAUGGGUCGGUUCACCUAGAGGGCUUGUCAAACGCAGACUGCUUAGCCUUAUUGCCGGAGUUUCUGAUCCAAGAGUCAGAGGUGGGGCCAGAGAAUCUGCAUUUCCAACCAAUGUCCAAGUGGUGCUGAUGCUCUUGGUCUGGGGCCACGCUUGGAGAACCACUGUUCUAUAGAAAUUCAUGGUAAAAAUAGGAAGAUUAAGAACUCUGGAAAAUGCAUAAGGUCAGCACAGUAAUCUGAGCCAAGUUCCAACAUCACAUAGAGAAGCUCAGAGAACUCCCAGAGGAGAUGGUUCAGACCGGAGGGGAGAGAGGCUGUCUCUUGCCCACACCUCUUAAGCCUCAUUAGAAAGUCCCUUAAUGAAAAGGCAUCAGAGAUGGACACCUGAAUCUGUCACCAUCCUGUGGCUUAUUUUCCAUCUGUGCUUUCAUUGACGGAAUGUCUGUUUUGCUCUUGCAGUGUGAGAAAUACAAAAAGGGCUCCAAUGGAUCUUCUCACCCAGGGCAGCCAGGCCUGGGCCGCCCCCUUCCCUCCGGGUCAGUGAUGGGUUAGCAUUUCAGGGCCAAUAUAAGUUGCCGGGCACCUGGAAGACAACCGCACUGGCAAGAUUCUGUUUAAGAGUCCAGGGCCACUGGGGAAGUUUGGUGGAGAGGGACACAAGAGGGUUUUGUGUGGACUGCAUUGUGUCCCCCUAAAAUCAUCUGUUGAACCCCUAACCCCCAAUGUGACUGUACUUGGACACAAGGCCUUUUUAGGGGUAAUUACGGUUAAAGGAGGUCGUCAGGGCCGAGCCCUAAUCCAAUGGGAUGAGUGUCCUUCUAAGAAGAGGAAGAGACAUUGAGUGCCCACACCAACAAAAGGCCAUGUGAGGUCACAGUGAGAAGGUGACCGUCUGCAAGCCAAGGAGAGACCUCAGGAGCAAUCAUAUCUGCCAGUACUUUCAUCUUGGACUUCAGCCUCCAGACCUGUGAGAAAAUAAAUUUCUGCCGUGGAAGCCCCACCGUCUGUGGUCGUUCGUUGUGGCAGCCUGAGCAAGUAAUACAGGGUGCAACCAAGGUGAGAAGAAUGCGUCCAUCAGCCACUCCCAGUUGGAGGGGGAUUCCCUCCGUGUGAACAGCCUUCGUGUCCAGGAAGUGGUCCCAGAGGAAGAAGGAAGAGCUAGCCCACCUUGGGCAAAAUUCUCAGGGGCUUAUGAAAAGCAGGUGUCAAAGGGCAAUCCCAGGGAACUUACUCACUGGGCACCGUGACCUCGGAACUGGUUCUGCCGAAUGAGUCCCUGGAGUGAGAAGAAGCCCCUAGCUUCGAUCCAGCAGAGUGCAAGGAGAAGCCGGAUCGGCAAGCUGAAGCGGGAGUGGUGUCGGUGGUGGAGCCCUCCCCCGCUUUAGCUGUUCCCACUAGUGGGACAGUUUGCGCCUCACAGGGAAUUGUUUACCUGGGCAGUUAAAAAGGCAGGAUUGCGUGGUGUCUGUGGGCUGUGGGAGACAGACGGGUCCUUUCUCUGUUGACCCUCGCCACGAUCACUCAGGCUUGAGUCCAGACUCAGUGACCAGGAAGGAAAUGUGGAAAGGAUCAACGGGCCACACGUACCCCAACAACUCCCAGCAGCCAGGUCCCAAUGUGUCCAGGUGGUAGAGACGAGAACCUGCAGCCGAGCAUCAGGGCAGAAGUCCUUGUCUUCCCGUGGACAUUCUCUAGAAGAGAGUAACGCCGAUCUGGGCUGUUGGAGCAGCGUGCACUUAGGAAGCCAGUGGAUCCCAGGCUUUCUCCACGCUUGAGUGGCUUACAAAAUGUGCUUGCCUGAGUCCAAUGCCGGUGUUAGGGAACUGCGGGGGACGGUCAGAGAUGAGAACAGCCAGGCUCGCUCUGAGCUUGUGAGGCACAGCUGGCGAGGGUGGGGGCGUCUCUCCAGCCUGUCGGGCACCAUGAGUGGGCAGGCUGGGCAGAGGCAGGAGACGGACGCACCGGGCCCCCUUCCCUUCCGUGGUUCAUUUUAUCCCCCAACUCUGCGUGGGAACGUGGCUUUAGGAAGAAUAACACCAUCCUCGUCUUCCUGCUCUGGGGAUCUGAGAAUAAGUUAGGAUCUGCAGAGAGGACAGUUACCCAGGAUAACUUUCUGGAAGUGAAUUUGGGUGAAAAGGUAGAAACAUAGAUUUCUAGUGUUCAUGGCCCUUUCUCAGAUUCUCUCUACCCAGUGAGGGCUGCGCGCCAAUGGUGCCUCCCUCCCUGUCGCUCAUCUCCUCUUGCGUCGCAGCAGAGGGUAGGUGGCAGGACUGUUUCUAGGGGAGAAGUCCUUUAUCUGGAAAGAGGGGGUCAGGGAAAGGAGACUGCUGUGUCCCCGACCCCAUGUUACUGUUUUACCUUAAUAAAUAUAUAUAAGGACUA
Molecule: long non-coding RNA, 2765 nt
Filed under: Equus caballus (horse)
Lineage: Eukaryota; Metazoa; Chordata; Mammalia; Perissodactyla; Equidae
Description: lncRNA (ENSECAG00000053364.1)
Source: RNAcentral